AUCUAAGAGAUUUGGCGGUACUUAUUACAUUUUAGAGAAACUUGUUUUAGUAAAUCGAUAAUCCCCGAAAUAUCUUACCUUUGUAAAUUAAUUAGUUUGUAUACCUUCAUGUAUAUAAUUUUUAUAAAAUAGAAAUUAUUUAAAUAAUUUAUUUAAGAUAAUAUAUUAGAUCAAGGUGCAGCUUAUGGAAAGGGUAGAAUGAGUUAUAAUAUAUUAUUAUGUGUAUGGAUAAAAUUAGUUGAAAAAAUUUUUGAAAGAGGAUUUAAUUGUAAUUAAAUUUUAAUAAGUUAUAGUGAUAGUAGUUCUGGAGUAUGU
Molecule: ribosomal RNA, 315 nt
Filed under: Microprosthema aff. takedai LMT-2017
Lineage: Eukaryota; Metazoa; Arthropoda; Malacostraca; Decapoda; Macromaxillocarididae
Description: partial 12S ribosomal RNA
Source: RNAcentral